RNAcentral lists this ribosomal RNA (497 nucleotides) under uncultured bacterium. Its description in RNAcentral is "partial 16S ribosomal RNA". It matches the Rfam family "Bacterial small subunit ribosomal RNA", at positions 28 to 507 of the family's 1533-position model. The record is from RNAcentral.
GAUGAACGCUGGCGGCGUGCCUAAUACAUGCAAGUCGAGCGAACAGACGAGGAGCUUGCUCCUCUGACGUUAGCGGCGGACGGGUGAGUAACACGUGGAUAACCUACCUAUAAGACUGGGAUAACUUCGGGAAACCGGAGCUAAUACCGGAUAAUAUAUUGAACCGCAUGGUUCAAUAGUGAAAGACGGUUUUGCUGUCACUUAUAGAUGGAUCCGCGCCGCAUUAGCUAGUUGGUAAGGUAACGGCUUACCAAGGCGACGAUGCGUAGCCGACCUGAGAGGGUGAUCGGCAACACUGGAACUGAGACACGGUCCAGACUCCUACGGGAGGCAGCAGUAGGGAAUCUUCCGCAAUGGGCGAAAGCCUGACGGAGCAACGCCGCGUGAGUGAUGAAGGUCUUCGGAUCGUAAAACUCUGUUAUUAGGGAAGAACAAAUGUGUAAGUAACUAUGCACGUCUUGACGGUACCUAAUCAGAAAGCCACGGCUAACUACGUG